CGUGGGGAACCUGCCCCAUAGUCUGGGAUACCACUUGGAAACAGGUGCUAAUACCGGAUAAGAAAGCGGAUCGCAUGAUCAGCUUUUAAAAGGCGGCGUAAGCUGUCGCUAUGGGAUGGCCCCGCGGUGCAUUAGCUAGUUGGUGAGGUAAAGGCUUACCAAGGCGAUGAUGCAUAGCCGAGUUGAGAGACUGAUCGGCCACAUUGGGACUGAGACACGGCCCAAACUCCUACGGGAGGCAGCAGGC
RNAcentral lists this ribosomal RNA (247 nucleotides) under uncultured Lactobacillus sp. RNAcentral describes it as "partial 16S ribosomal RNA". It matches the Rfam family "Bacterial small subunit ribosomal RNA", at positions 116 to 354 of the family's 1533-position model. The record is from RNAcentral. Lineage: Bacteria; Bacillati; Bacillota; Bacilli; Lactobacillales; Lactobacillaceae.